This 451-nucleotide ribosomal RNA is filed under the name uncultured bacterium. RNAcentral's name for it is "bacterial SSU rRNA". It matches the Rfam family "Bacterial small subunit ribosomal RNA", at positions 354 to 796 of the family's 1533-position model. The record is from RNAcentral.
GUGGGGAAUUUUGGGCAAUGGGCGAAAGCCUGACCCAGCAACGCCGCGUGCGGGAUGAAGGCCCUCGGGUCGUAAACCGCUGUCAGGAGGAAAGAACAGCCGCACGGAUAAUACUCGUGCGGUCUGACGGUACCUCCAAAGGAAGCACCGGCUAACUCCGUGCCAGCAGCCGCGGUAAUACGGAGGGUGCAAGCGUUGUUCGGAAUUACUGGGCGUAAAGCGCAUGCAGGUGGCUGAGUAAGUCGAAUGUGAAAGCCCCAGGCUCAACCUGGGAACUGCAUCCGAAACUACUCGGCUAGAGUCCCGGAGAGGAAGGCAGAAUUCCCAAUGUAGGGGUGAAAUCCGUAGAUAUUGGGAGGAAUACCGGUGGCGAAGGCGGCCUUCUGGACGGUGACUGACACUCAGAUGCGAAAGCGUGGGGAGCAAACAGGAUUAGAUACCCGAGUAGUCC